GCGAGAAACCUUUGCAAUGUGCGAAAGCCUGACCCAGCAACGCCGCGUGAAGGAUGAAGUAUUUCGGUAUGUAAACUUCGAAAGAAUAGGAAGAAUAAAUGACGGUACUAUUUAUAAGGUCCGGCUAACUACGUGCCAGCAGCCGCGGUAAUACGUAGGGACCAAGCGUUGUUCGGAUUUACUGGGCGUAAAGGGCGCGUAGGCGGCAUGACAAGUCACUUGUGAAAUCUCUGGGCUUAACCCAGAACGGCCAAGUGAUACUGUCGCGCUAGAGUGCAGAAGGGGCAAUCGGAAUUCUUGGUGUAGCGGUGAAAUGCGUAGAUAUCAAGAGGAACACCUGAGGUGAAGACGGGUUGCUGGGCUGACACUGACGCUGAGGCGCGAAAGCCAGGGGGAGCAAACGGGAUUAGAUACCCAAGUAGUCCCUGAGCGGGCUGGCAAGGCGCAU
Molecule: ribosomal RNA, 448 nt
Filed under: uncultured bacterium
Lineage: Bacteria
Description: bacterial SSU rRNA
Rfam family: Bacterial small subunit ribosomal RNA
Source: RNAcentral